UGGGAGAGCGGAGGGGAGGGGCCACGGAGCCCCCGGCCUCAUCACAGCACAGCAAUCAUGCGUGUCCACCUCUGUCAGAGCGGAAAAGUGACAUUUUCUCUCCCUGUUUCCCCAUGAUUCCCUGCUGUACUCCUAUGUGACAGCUGCUGGAAAGACAGGUGUGGCUCGAUCCCUAGCUGUCCCAGAGGCCUCUCUGAUUUAUUGAAUCUGCCUCCUUACCUGUUCUGAGUCCCAAUACUGAAAUUCACACCGCCCCCCCGUCAGGCUCUGGCUGGAAUAACACCUUUUGAUUUCUGCCACCCAUGUCUACAGGGCUUUGGCUGCAUGACCCUCACGCCUACUACUAGCACUGUGCUCCAUCAACAAAAAAUUAAAAUGUGAAAAAUCAAUAACACGAAAAUGCAGUUGAAAGGGUAGUGAAGCAGUCUUAUUACUUGUGUGGAAUGGCAAGUAACAUGUAGGCUAUUUAGAGACAACCUGUGCAAUGUGGGAGCUUCAACAACAGCUGAGCAGUAUUGGCCAUUGUGACAUGAGAUGAUGUUACCUGAUUAUGGCGGUCAUUGUGACAUCAGGUGAUGCUGGCUGAUGUGGUGUCAUUGUGUUAUCAGGUGAUGAAGCUGAUUGCGAGGGAAUCAUUGUGACAUAAGAUGGUGCCGGCUGAUGGUGGCGUUAUUGUGUUAUCAGGUGAUGUUGCGUAGCUGAUUGUGGGGGAUGAGGUCAUUGUGACAUAAGACGUGAACUAAUUGUGGUAUUAUUGUGACAUCAGCAGGUGUUCGCAUGUUGUGGUGUUACUUUGCCCUCAGAUGAUGCUGUCUACUCAGUGUAGGUCAUUAACCCCUUUGUGCAAGCCUCCUAGUGGCCAGGAAACCAGCAUCCUGCGAUUGCUCAACUCAGACAUUCAGUGCUCCAGCAACCAAGCUAUGAUUCACCAUUGCAACAAGGUCAAGCCAACAAUAGAAUAUUUUACUUAUCUUGCCAACUCAUCAGCAUGGCUAAAGCAAAUUCUCCCCAUUCUGACAUGGAUUUGGAGAGUGGGUCAGAAGAGGAGGAAGCAUGAAGUCUAGCGAAGAGGCAUAUGAAAAAGGCGAUGAUUAAUGCUUGUGCCAUUUCAAUUGUUUAUUUUGUCAUUUUUUGAUAUUGUUAUGUUUGCAUUCGUUGUAAUGGACAACUGUUAGCCCUUGGUAGUAAUGCUCAGCAUAUUUGUAUUUGGGACUAGCUAAUAGCUGUUAGUAGAGGGGCAUUGUUAACGUACGCAGUUCGGUGUAGUGGCUCAUAGUCAGCUGGCUUGCUUUGUUAGAAUUCAUCCCACUCACAAUGCCUAUACAUUUCUGCAAGUAAAAUGCAACCCCUACCUAUGAAGAGGGAAACGUGUUCACAAAACAGCUUACACGUUCUGAGAUGAUGUGGAGUAGUGUAAAGUAUUGUAAUUCAAGGUUAAAUAAAUGAAGGUAUCAAAAAAGGAA
This is a long non-coding RNA of Anguilla rostrata (American eel), 1463 nucleotides long. RefSeq lists it as uncharacterized. The record is from RefSeq and is a predicted model, not a curated record. The transcript is spliced from 2 exons. NCBI's taxonomy places the organism in Eukaryota, Metazoa, Chordata, Actinopteri, Anguilliformes, Anguillidae.